UACGGAGGGUGCAAGCGUUAAUCGGAAUUACUGGGCGUAAAGCGCACGCAGGUGGCUGAGUCAGUCGAUUGUGAAAUCCCCGGGCUUAACCUGGGAACUGCAUUUGUGACUGCAUCGCUGGAGUGCGGCAGAGGGGGAUGGAAUUCCGCGUGUAGCAGUGAAAUGCGUAGAUAUGCGGAGGAACACCGAUGGCGAAGGCAAUCCCCUGGGCCUGCACUGACGCUCAUGCACGAAAGCGUGGGGAGCAAACAGG
This 253-nucleotide ribosomal RNA is filed under the name uncultured bacterium. RNAcentral describes it as "partial 16S ribosomal RNA". It matches the Rfam family "Bacterial small subunit ribosomal RNA", at positions 524 to 776 of the family's 1533-position model. The record is from RNAcentral.